This 443-nucleotide ribosomal RNA is filed under the name uncultured bacterium. RNAcentral describes it as "partial 16S ribosomal RNA". It matches the Rfam family "Bacterial small subunit ribosomal RNA", at positions 338 to 795 of the family's 1533-position model. The record is from RNAcentral.
CCUACGGGAGGCAGCAGUGAGGAAUAUUGGGCAAUGGAGGCAACUCUGACCCAGCAACGCCGCGUGAAUGAUGAAGGUCUUCGGAUUGUAAAGUUCUGUGAUGGGGGAUGAACACAAUGACGGUACCCCAAUAGCAAGCCACGGCUAACUACGUGCCAGCAGCCGCGGUAAUACGGAGGUGGCAAGCGUUAUCCGGAAUGACUGGGCGUAAAGGGUGCGUAGGUGGUUUAGUAAGUUGGCGGUGAAAUUCCGGGGCUCAACCUCGGCGCUACCGCCAAGACUAUUAGACUAGAGUGCAGGAGGGGUAAGUGGAAUUCCUAGUGUAGCGGUGGAAUGCGUAGAUAUUAGGAGGAACAUCAGGGGCGAAGGCGACUUACUGGACUGUAACUGACACUGAGGCACGAAAGCGUGGGGAGCAAACAGGAUUAGAUACCCGAGUAGUC